GAUGAACGCUAGCUACAGGCUUAACACAUGCAAGUCGAGGGGCAGCAUGAACUUAGCUUGCUAAGUUUGAUGGCGACCGGCGCACGGGUGAGUAACACGUAUCCAACCUGCCGAUGACUCGGGGAUAGCCUUUCGAAAGAAAGAUUAAUACAAGAUGUUAUCAUGAGUAAGCAUUUUCGCAUGAUUAAAGGUUUACCGGUGUAAGAUGGGGAUGCGUUCCAUUAGAUAGUAGGCGGGGUAACGGCCCACCUAGUCUUCGAUGGAUAGGGGUUCUGAGAGGAAGGUCCCCCACAUUGGAACUGAGACACGGUCCAAACUCCUACGGGAGGCAGCAGUGAGAUAUUGGUCAAUGGGAACGAGAGUCUGAACCAGCCAAGUACGCGUGAAGGAUGAAGGUUCUA
RNAcentral lists this ribosomal RNA (401 nucleotides) under uncultured bacterium. RNAcentral's name for it is "bacterial SSU rRNA". It matches the Rfam family "Bacterial small subunit ribosomal RNA", at positions 28 to 419 of the family's 1533-position model. The record is from RNAcentral.